GUGAGGAAUAUUGGUCAAUGGGCGGGAGCCUGAACCAGCCAAGUCGCGUGAAGGAAGAAGGAUCUAUGGUUCGUAAACUUCUUUUGCAGGGGAAUAAAGUGCAGGACGUGUCCUGUUUUGUAUGUACCCUGAGAAUAAGGAUCGGCUAACUCCGUGCCAGCAGCCGCGGUAAUACGGAGGAUCCGAGCGUUAUCCGGAUUUAUUGGGUUUAAAGGGUGCGUAGGUGGUUUGAUAAGUCAGCGGUGAAAGUUUGCAGCUUAACUGUAAAAAUGCCGUUGAAACUGUCGGACUUAAGUGUAAAUGAGGUAGGCGGAAUGCGUGGUGUAGCGGUGAAAUGCAUAGAUAUCACGCAGAACUCCGAUUGCGAAGGCAGCUUACUAAGCUACAACUGACACUGAAGCACGAAAGCGUGGGGAUCAAACAGGAUUAGAAACCCUUGUAGUCC
Molecule: ribosomal RNA, 445 nt
Filed under: uncultured bacterium
Lineage: Bacteria
Description: partial 16S ribosomal RNA
Rfam family: Bacterial small subunit ribosomal RNA
Source: RNAcentral